UGGGGUAUAGCCCAAUGGUAAAGAAUUUGUUUAGCAUGCACGAGGUCCUGGGUUCAAUUCCCAGUACCUUUA
This 72-nucleotide transfer RNA is filed under the name Camelus bactrianus (Bactrian camel). It matches the Rfam family "tRNA". Rfam says of the family: Transfer RNA (tRNA) molecules are approximately 80 nucleotides in length. Their secondary structure includes four short double-helical elements and three loops (D, anti-codon, and T loops). The record is from Rfam by way of RNAcentral. Lineage: Eukaryota; Metazoa; Chordata; Mammalia; Artiodactyla; Camelidae. RNAcentral also lists the same sequence under 1 other name.